CUGAGACAGUGUUUUUGGAAUUAAUGAGGUUGCUGGCAUCAGCCUUGAGAGAGUUGUCUCCUGUAGCUCCUUGCUUGUUUAAAUAAGACACCUAUCCCAUCCAUAGAAGCUUAUACAAAUAUUUGUUAUUUUGUUGCUAAAUAAUUGGGAGGAAUUUUUAAUGCUGAGCUUUUACUUGAUUACAUCCACUACAUUUAGAGAUAUUUAUUUUUGGUAUUUUGAGAUAUUACUUUUAAUCCAGUUAAUUUAUACUACAUGUAAAUACUUUAGUGAUAUUCUAUGCUAUAUUGGGUGAGAAAUGAAAUGUUUUGUUCAGGAUGUAACCACAGAUAUGAACAACAAAAUAUUUAUCCAUGAUUUUCUUUUCAUGGUGUUUCAAAAUUAAUUUAUUAGCAUAACCCUGUUUAAUAUAACUUCACAAAAUUAUUUCUGUAAUUAUGUGCUUAGUUGUCUGACACAUCUAGACAUGCAUAUAUAUUUACCUGUGGUUGAUAAUAGGAAAAUGAGGUGAACAGAAAGAAGAGAUGGAGGAUUCAGCUAUUAAAACAUUAGAUUGUUGUGGCCUGUUUGCCUCAAUCCCUUUAAAAUCUAGACAGAUAUAGAAAGCAGUUUAUGGGAUGAUUAUCUGCAUAGUCCAUACGGCAUUCCACAUACAGUCUCAGGUUAAAGAAAAGAUAGUUACUGGCUCCUUCCAGAUUACCAUCAUGAAUCCAAUUAACUUCAGGAAAUACUGUAGCAACAUCCUUCAGCUUCUCUUCUGUAAAUGUGAAUUUUCCUUGAACGUACUUCUUGUGGUUGAUACUGCAAUAAUGAAGGGGUCAGCAAUCACUCAUUCUUUUUGCUGGGCAACAGAUCUGGAGAAAUGGGACCUCACUAUGAGUAAGCAGUUCCUCAGAAAUGCGGUGAGAAGCUUUCCGAGGGGAUUCCUGCUCGUGCUGGCAGCUGAACUGGCACAACUGGAAUCAUCCCAGUCUAGAACACAAGCUCUACUGUCUGUUUUGAAAAUGUGUUCUGAAGUAAAAGAUAAUAGUUACAUAUAUUAAAUAACCAUAUUAAUUGCUACAGUCACGUGGGACCAACAUCUUGUUAUUGCAUCACUUUUUGGCUGUAUAAUUCUUUUUCUGGCUACUAAAAUCUUUGAUUUUAUUCCUUGCUCUCAUUUCAUUCUGGAGCAAAGAAUCCUGCCCAGUGACUGGAAGCCAGGAAGACUUUCCAGAUCCUGAGAUACUGAAAAGGCAUCUUCCUUUUUGCAAGGCAGGGUGAUGCCUAAGCCAGUUCUGGGGUGUGGAGUAGUUUCUCCUGUGGCCCUUCCUUCUACCAGACUGUGGAGGAAAGGCACUACCAGCACCUAAUCCUACCCCACUGCUAGUCCGCUCAGUCCGUGCUGCAGCCUGACCAUGUGAACCAGUAGCAGAGCCCUCCUCUAUGCUCCUUCUGGGUAAACCUGCACCGCAGUUAGUUGCAGAACCUGUUUCACUGUGGACCACUGAUACCCCAGUUGGCCUAAUUGCUACAUGGCAUUUUACUACUCGACCUGUAUCUCUGCAAAGAGAAGCGCUUUUAUUCCAGAGGAAAUCAUGACAUGGACAAGAGGCUACUUUGCUCCUGAAAAGCAAGUGGAUGCACAAACUGAAUCUCACCCAUGACAGCACAGUGUGACUACUGCAAAAAAACCACCUCUCUGCAUGGAUGAAGCAGUGAGUAGGAUCUGACAACUACUCAUCUGUUAUCAAACGCAACAUGUGAAUCAGUGGUGCAACUAAUGGGCAACAAAACUAGCAUAUCCUUUCUGCCAGGAAUUGGUUUGCUCAAACGGGGAAAAAAAGCCUCAAAAAUACAUACAGAGGGACAAUAAAAUGAAUCCAAAAACCA
Long non-coding RNA from Apteryx owenii (little spotted kiwi), 1872 nucleotides. The record is from Ensembl. NCBI's taxonomy places the organism in Eukaryota, Metazoa, Chordata, Aves, Apterygiformes, Apterygidae.